Molecule: ribosomal RNA, 372 nt
Filed under: uncultured organism
Description: partial 16S ribosomal RNA
Rfam family: Bacterial small subunit ribosomal RNA
Source: RNAcentral
GUAGGUGGCAAGCGUUGUCCGGAAUUAUUGGGCGUAAAGCGCGCGCAGGCGGUUCUUUAAGUCUGAUGUGAAACGCCCACGGCUCAACCGUGGAGGGUCAUUGGAAACUGGAGAACUUGAGUACAGAAGAGGAAAGCGGAAUUCCACGUGUAGCGGUGAAAUGCGUAGAGAUGUGGAGGAACACCAGUGGCGAAGGCGGCUUUCUGGUCUGUAACUGACGCUGAGGCGCGAAAGCGUGGGGAGCAAACAGGGAUUAGAUACCCUGGUAGUCCACGCCGUAAACGAUGAGUGCUAAGUGUAGGGGGUUUCCGCCCCCUUAGUGCUGCAGCUAACGCAUUAAGCACUCCGCCUGGGGAGUACGCCGCAAGGCUG